UGAGACCUUGUGGGAACACGAAGACAUCACCCUUGUUAAGUGUCUUGGUGAAUAGCUUGUUUUCUCCGUUUGCUUGGUUCGAUGUAACAAAACCAACAUAGAGUGUACCCUCAAAAACCGUUAGGAUCUCGGUAGCACGGGGAUGCGUGUGUGGUGGGUUUUGCCCUUUAGGAGCAUAGUCGAUCCUUGCCAUGGAGAUGCCAAGGGUGUUGAGACCUGUGAGUUUCAUCACGUUGAUCAAUGUAACAUUGGAUCCAGCCUUGCUCUUGGUUGUGUCCAUCGGCUUGUCGAGGUUAGCUUCUAGGAAGAAGUCAUCAACAUUCACAUCCUUAGCAUCCUUGCAGGGGAACCCAUUGACACGUACUGCAUUGAAGAACAUACAAAGGUCAGAUCAAAAGCUAGAAACAUAUAUAUGUACAACAUGAAUGUCUCGGAUCAUUGUUAAUCUGAUGUAACCGCAUGAUCAGUGAAGAAGUACACUACCUGGAGAGUUCCUGUCGGCAACGCAGAAGUCCUGAAGAGGACUGGGAUCAAAAGCCAUGGCCUGAGUAGCGACCAAAGCGAUGAGAGCUGUGGGAAGAAAGAAGUUGGAGGAGGCCAUGUUAAGUUGAUGGAACUUUUGCUUGUGUACAAGUAGUGGUCGAUGAUUCUUGUAUAGCUAUAGUUGAUGCUUUGCCCAUGGAAAUGAUGCAUCCAUAUAUAUAGGCCUCUGAGCAUGAGAUGAUUUUGAAGUGGUCAAUAACAAAAGGCUGAGCUAGCUUGUGACUGGUUCAUCUCCUCUAAAGUCUGAACUGAUCUUGAACUCUUAAUAGAUUGCAUCUGGGAAAGAAACUAUUUAAUUUGAUGGAUUCAAUCUAUCUUAAUUCCCAGUCAACAGCUAGGUUGGCCGACUAAUUAAUUAAUUAGAUUAUUCCAGUGCCUGUCAUGCAUGAUGCAUGCAUUAGAUUUAUUAUGUCUUGCCUGGCUCUGUUAUCAGGUGCAGAGAAACAUAUUAUGAUAAAGAUAGGGAGAUGAAUUUUAUCUCUCAAGAAGAUUUUAAAAAAAUGAUAAGACAAUUAAAUUAAAUUAAAAUAUAUCCCUUUACAAACAUACAAGUUUGAUACGACACCUAUAAGUUGUAAAAAAAUAACCGUGAAUGUACGUUAACUAUUACUAAGAACCGAGUAGAUUGACCAUGUCUUCUCUAUCCAUGUAAAAUAUACUUGGUCCCUUUCGUCUCUGCAUAUUCAGGCAUCCAUGUGUGUUACGGGAAUAUAACGUCUGAAUGUCUGAUUAAUUAGUCAAGAGCUAGCACACAUGCUAAUUAAAAGGGAAGUUGAUAAUGUCAGUAUUGCAGUUAAUUGCUGAAUAUAUCAACACGCUCUCUGUUGCCUACAGCUGCCGAGACAGUUUCAAGCUAAUAACUAAUGGUACUUUGGUUAAUUCAGUUGAAAGCUCAACAGAUCAAUUACAUCAUCAAUUACAUCGGCCGCCGGCUCUUCAUUCUCCUGGCCAGAUGCAUAUGGAUAGCUAGGAGAGGAGUUAAAACAAAUACUAGCUUCCAAUAUGGCUGUGUUUGGCAAAUAGGAUUGAGAAAUAAUAUCCCACCCUCCAAAAGGCAACAUUGCAUCUUAGCCAUCCAUUCUUCACACUUUAUUUAAUCCUAGCCAUUCAUCUAUUUCCAUUUCCCAAUCCGACCUCCCAUAUCCUAUUUGCUAAACAUACCCUAUAUGGAAAUAUUUAUCUUUUUAGCGCUUCUUAUAUUAUACUUCCUGUGUCUCCAGGAGUGUGUUUUGUAUAUAAAAAAAGGGAUUAUAAAAAAAAAGUACCACAAUUUUUUUAAGUAAAAAACUUUCAAAUAUAAUUGUAGUAUAGUUGUAAUUUAAUUCUACAAUAAUUAUACUAUAACUACAAUGUGACUUGUAAGGAUUAAAAAAUAUGCAACUUUAUAGCUAAGUUAUAUCAAGAUUAGAAUGUAAGCAUAUUGUAAGUACAAUGUAGUUACAAUGUAACUAUAGUGUAAUUAUAUUAUAGUUAUACUACAACUAUGCCAUAGUUAUAUUUGAAAGCUUUUACCAAAAAAAAAUUGCGACAGUUUUUUUUUAGCAAUUUCCAAAAUAUAGAUUUAGUGAAAACACUUCAAGCCGGGCGUUGGAUCUGGGAGAAAAAACCGGCUCCCCGCCAAUCAUUCCCAUCCACUCAUUCAAGUAUUUCUCUCUCCCUUGUCUCGCUCGCAUCUCUCUCCCUUAUCGCGCACUCGCUUACUCUACUAUCUCUCUCUCUCUCUCUCUCUGUGUGUGUGUGUGUCUCCCACCGAGGCUUUGAUGCAGCGAUGACGCGUCCCCAUAAGGGCAGCUAGCGCCGAUGGCAACGGGAGGAUCAACUACAACGACGACAACGAGGAGGAGAGCAACCCAUCGUGGCAAAGCAGCAGAUGGAGCAAGUGGUGGUCACGCCAUCGUAGCUGACAACAAGUCAAGGUCAUUUAUGGAAAGAAUCACCGGGUCAUCACAUUGCAGCGUUUGAGGUUGUCGAAGAAAGCCCGAUCCAACCAUUAGAGGGGAGGAGGAAGUCAUAUAUAGCCAAUACAUUUUUUUUAAUGUUUAAAAUUUCUAAUGUUUAAGCCAAUGUUUUUUUUAUGUUUCUUUUUGUUAGAUUGUAAUGUUGUACUAGGAAUUUUAAUGUUGUUUCAUAUUUUUGUCUUCAGUUCAUUGUAAUGUCGUUUCAUGUCCGAUCGAUUAGGUCACCAACUCCGUUGUUGGCCAAAUGAGAUUCAGGAUCAGAUGGUCUUUAAGGGGUUCUUUAGGACGUGCGUGGUAAUUGUAAAGUGUGAAAUUCCUACAUUCAAAGGAGUAAUAAACUCUUGAGUCUUGAGCAAAUCGUAGGUUUGAAAGUAAGACACUACAGGUUGAUUAUUGGAGUUAUUGAAUGGUUCACACCUAUAAACCGUUUACUAGUUAUUGAACAGUUCACAUCUAUAAACCGCCCACUAAGCUAGCCAAGCAAUAAAAAGUCAACCAAAAUUUCAUUUCUUACAUAAUUUGUUUAGAUUUUGUUGGUUUUUAAAGUAAUUAAUGGUCAUGUAUAAAGGAAUUUAGUUCGCAUGUACAAACAUUUUUGUUAUCUUUCUCAAGCAUGUAGGGAUAAUUGAGAAAGAAUAGAUUAAUUUGGAUGAGUGCUAUGAGCUUGUGAACAACAUAAGAAAUAUAAGUACUGAACUAGCUAGGGCAAUGCUUCCCCAGUAAUAUGAUUUUAAUUAUCCAUCUUUAUGAGUGUUAAAAAAGUACCCAAGAAAUCAACGAUAUUAAAUUAAUACCCCAGAUCAUACAUCAUGUGACAAAUAUAUAUGUGUACUGAUAUACAUUAUUCAUAAAAAGAAUCAUAUAAAAUAUCGAGUUUAGGAUUACAUGAAGUAUACAAUAUUUAGCUAAUAUAAUAAUCAACAAACUCUUUUUACUACCAAUCACUAGUUUUGAACCUUAUCAAGCAUCAAUAAUUUAGUUAUGGUUGUUCUCCCAGAACUGAGCUUGGAGCCAAUCCACAGCUUUCUUGUCCACCUGAAAUGCCUUAGCAAGAACGUCAUCCGAGAUUGGUGAAUUUGAUCCAAAUACUGCAUUAGCAAUGGUAAUCGCUCCAGGGUUCUGGCUGCUAAGUGCAGCGAUGGCAACUGCUGGCUUAUCAUAGCUUGGAUUGAACUGGAAGUGAAUGAGACCUUGUGGGAACACGAAGACAUCACCCUUGUUAAGUGUCUUGGUGAAGAGCUUGUUUUCUCCGUUUGCUUGGUUCGAUGUAACAAAACCAACAUAGAGUGUACCCUCAAGAACAGUUAGGAUCUCGGUAGCACGGGGAUGCGUGUGUGGUGGGUUUUGCCCUUUAGGAGCAUAGUCGAUCCUUGCCAUGGAGAUGCCAAGGGUGUUGAGACCUGCGAGUUUCAUCACAUUGAUCAAUGUAACAUUGGAUCCAGCCUUGCUCUUGGUUGUGUCCAUCGGCUUGUCGAGGUUAGCUGCUAGGAAGAAGUCAUCAACAUUCACAUCUUUAGCAUCCUUGCAAGGGAACCCAUUGACAUGUACUACAUUGAAGAACAUACAAAGGUCAGAUCGAAAGCUAGAAACAUAUAUAUGUACAACAUGAAUAUCUCAUAUCAUUGUUAAUCUGAUGUAACUGCAUGAUCAGUGAAGAAGUACACUACCUGGAGAGUUCCUGUCGGCAACGCAGAAGUCCUGAAGAGGACUGGGAUCAGAAGCCAUGGCCUGAGUAGCGACCAAAGCGAUGAGAGCUGUGAGAAGAAAGAAGUUCGAGGAGGCCAUGUUAAGUUGAUGGAACUUUUGCUUGUGUACAAGUAGUGGUCGAUGCUUCUUGUAUAGCUGUAGUCUAUGCUUUUGUCCAUGGAAGCAUCCAUAUAUAUAGGCCUCUGAGCAUGAAAUGAUUCUGAAGUGGUCAAUAAGAAAAGGAUGAGCUAGCUAGUGACUUGUUCAUCUCCUCAGAAGUCUGAACUGGUCUUGAACUCUUAAUGAUUGCAUCUGGGAAAGAAACUAUUUAAUUUGAUGGAUUCAAGCUAUCUUAAUUCCCAGUCAACAGCUAGGUUGGCCGACUAAUUAAUUAAUUAGAUUAUUCCAGUGCCUGUCAUGCAUGAUGCAUGCAUUAGAUUGAUGAUGUCUUGGCUGUCUUUGUUAUCAGGUGAAUAGAAACACAGAGCACUUUACUACCAUUUUCAACCUUACCAAGUUUUAGCAUUGCUAAAUUUUGGUAUGUUUGCUAAAAUUUUAACAAGGUUGCUAAAUUUUGGCAAGAUUUUAUAUGUGCUUACUAAAAAUUUAGCAACAAACUAAACGUAGUUAAAAUUUUAGCAACUUUAUCAGAAAAUGGCAUCAAAGUGAACAGGCUCAUAUUAUGAUAAAGAUAGGGAGAUGGAUUUUUAUCUCUCAAGAAGAUUUAAAAAAAUGAUAAGAUAAUUAAAUUAAAUUAAAAUAUAUCUCUUUACAAAUAUACAAUACAAGUUUAAUAUGACAUUCAAGUUGUAACAAAAAUAACCGUGAAUGUACGUUAACGAGUAGAUUGACCAUGUCUUCUCUAUCCAUGUAAAGUAUACUUGGUCCCUUUCGUCUCCGCAUAUUCAGGCAUCCAUGUGUGUUAUGGCAAUAUAACGUCUGAAUGUCUGAUUAAUUAGUCAAGAGCUAGCACCCAUGCUAAUUAAAAGGGAAGUUGAUAAUGUCAGUAUUGCAGUUAAUUGCUGAAUAUAUCAACACGCUCUCUGUUGCCUGCAGCUGCCGAGACAGUUUCAAGCUAAUAACUAUUGGUAGUUUGGUUAAUUCAGUUCAAAGCUCACCAGAUCAAUUACAUCAUCAAUUACAUCGGCCGGCGGCUCUUCAUUCCCCUGGCCAGCUGCAUAUGGAUAGCUAGGAGAGGAGUUAAAACAAAUACUAGCUUCCAAUAUAUAGAAAUAUUUAUCUUUUUAGCGCUUGUUAUAUUAUCCUUCCUCUAUCUUCAGGAGUGUGUUUUGCAUAAAAAAGGGAUUAUCUAAAAAAAGGUACCACAAUUUUUUAAAGUGAAAAACUCUCAAAUAUAACUGCAGUAUAGUUGUACUAUAAUUCUACAAUAAUUAUACUAUAACUACAAUGUAACUUGUAAAGAUUAAAAAAAUAUGCAACUUUACAGCUAAGUUAUAUAGAGAUUAGAAUGUAGGUAUAUUGUAAUUACAAUGUAGUUACAAUGUAAGUAUAGUGUAAUUAUAUUAUAGUUACUACAACUAUACCAUAGUUAUAUUUGAAAGCAUUUACCAAAAUGAAAUUGUGAUUAGUUUUUUUAGCAAUUUCCCAAAAAAGUAUAAAAAAGUAUAGUUCUAGUGAAAACGCUCCAAGCUGGGCACUGGAUCUAGGAGAAAAAAACCGGCUUCCUGCCAAUCAUUCCCAUCCACUCAUUCAAUCAUUUCUCUCUCCCUUGUCUCACUCACAUCUCUCCCCCUUAUCGCGCACUUGAUUACUCUACUCUCUCUCUCUCUGUGUGUCUGUCUCUAUCUCCCACCAAGGCUUUGAUGUGGCGAUGAUGACAUGUCACCAUAAGGGUAGCCGAUGCCGAUGGCAACGGGAGGACAACUACAACGACGACAGCGAGGAGGAGGGAAACCUAUCGUAGAGAAGCAGCGGACGGAGCAAGUGGUGGUCAUGCCAUCGCAGUUGACAACAAGGAAGUCAAGGUCAUUUAUAGAAAGAAUCACCGGGUCAUCACAUUGCAGCGUUUGAGGUUGUCGAAGAAAGCCCGAUCCAACCAUUGGAGGGGAGGAGGAAGUCAGAUAUAGCCGAUACAGUUUUUUUAAUGUUUAAAAUUUCUAAUGUUUAAGCCAAUGUUUUUCAUGUUUCUUUUUGUUAGAUUGUAAUGUUGUACUAGGCAUUUUAAUGUUGUUUCAUAUUUUUGUCUUCAGUUCAUUGUAAUGUUGUUUCAUGUACGAUCGAUUAGGUCACCAACUCCAUUGUUGGCCAAAUGAGAUUUAGGAUCAGAUGGCCUUCAAGGGGUUCUUUAGAACGUGCGUGGUAAUUGUGAAGUAUACUCGUAAGAAUUGAACGAUUUUUUUGUGAAAAUCUUAUGAAAUUACUACAUUCAAAAGAGUAAUAAACUCUUGAGUCUCGAGUGGUGUGUAUCGUCACCUCUACUGAAUCGUAGAUUUGAAAGUAAGACACUACAUGUUGAUUAUUAGAGUUAUUGAACGGUUCACACCUAUAAACCAUUCACUAGUUAUUAAACAAUUCACACCUAUAAACCGCUCACUAAACUAGCGAAGUAAUAAAAAAUCAAACAAAAUUUCAUUUCUUACAUAAUUUGUUUAUAUUAUAUUGGUUUUUAAAGUAAUUAAUGCAUGGUUAUAUAUAAAGGAAUUUAGUUCGCAUGUACAAACAUUUUUUUUAUGUUUCUCAAGCAUGAUAACUACAAGAAUUGAAAAAGAAGAGACUAAUUUGGAUGCUUGUUACGAUCUUGUGAGCAACACAACAAAUAUAAGUACUGAACGAGGGCAAUACAUCCCUAGUAAUAUGAUUUUAAUUAUGUAUCAUUCAGUGUUAAAAAGGUACCAAGAAAUCAAAUAUAUUAAAUUAAUAUCCCAGAUCAUACAUCACGUAACAUAUGUAUAUGUGCGUAGUGGUAUACAUUAUUUCGUAAAAAGAAUCAAAUAACAUAUUUUUAGGAUAACAUGAAGUAUACAAUUUUUAGCUACUAACAAUCAACAAACCAUUUUACUACAGAUAACUAAUUUUCAACAGAUAAGCAUCAAUAAUUUAAUUUAGUUAUGGUUAUUCUCCCAAAAUUGAGCUUGUAGCCAAUCCACUGCCUUUUUGUCCACUUGAAAUGCCUUAGCAAGAACAUCAUCCGAGAUUGGUGGAUUUGAUCCAAAUACUGCAUUAGCAAUGGUAAUCGCCCCAGGGUUUUGGCUACUAAGUGCAACGAUAGCAGCUGCCGGCUUAUCAUAACUUGGAUUGAACUGGAAGUGAAUGAGACCCUCUGGGAACACAAAGACAUCUCCUUUGUUGAGUGUCUUGGUGAAGAGCUUGUUUUCUCCGUUUGCUUGGUUAGAUGUAACAAAUCCAACAUAAAGUGAGCCCUCAAUUACACUUAGGAUCUCAGUGGCACGAGGGUGUGUGUGGGGUGGGUUUUGUCCUUUAGGAGCAUAGUCGAUCCUCGCCAUGGAGAUACCAAGGGUGUUGAGACCUGCAAGUUUCAUCACAUUGAUUAAGGUAACGUUGGAUCCAGCCUUGCUCUUGGUUAUGUCCAUCGGCUUGUCGAGGUUAGCUGCUAGGAAGAAGUCAUCGACACUCACAUCCUUAGCAUCCUUGCAAGGGAACCCAUUGACACGCACUGCAUAUUGAAAAACAUAUAUGGGUCAGAAACCUAGAAACUUAUAUAUACACAUUACGGAUGUUUGAGAUAAUCAUCAAUUUGAUGCAAUUGGAUGAUCGAUGACGAAAAACUAUA
RNAcentral lists this long non-coding RNA (7938 nucleotides) under Oryza sativa (Asian cultivated rice). RNAcentral's name for it is "long non-coding RNA (OSAT_LNC000090)". Lineage: Eukaryota; Viridiplantae; Streptophyta; Magnoliopsida; Poales; Poaceae. The record is from RNAcentral.